RNAcentral lists this ribosomal RNA (383 nucleotides) under uncultured bacterium. Its description in RNAcentral is "bacterial SSU rRNA". It matches the Rfam family "Bacterial small subunit ribosomal RNA", at positions 338 to 736 of the family's 1533-position model. The record is from RNAcentral.
CCUCGGGGAGGCAGCAGUGGGGAAUCUUGCACAAUGGAGGGAAACUUUGGAUGCAGCGAUGCCGCGUGAGUGAAGAAGGCCUUUGGGUUGUAAAGCUCUUUCGUCGGGGAAGAAAAUGACUGUACCCGAAUAAGAAGGUCCGGCUAACUUCGUGCCAGCAGCCGCGGUAAUACGAAGGGACUUAGCGUAGUUCGGAAUUACUGGGCUUAAAGAGUUCGUAGGUGGUUGAAAAAGUUGGUGGUGAAAUCCCAGAGCUUAACUCUGGAACUGCCAUCAAAACUUUUCAGCUAGAGUAUGAUAGAGGAAAGCAGAAUUUCUAGUGUAGAGGUGAAAUUCNUAGAUAUUAGAAAGAAUACCAAUUGCGAAGGCAGCUUUCUGGAUCA